This is a long non-coding RNA of Manacus vitellinus (golden-collared manakin), 618 nucleotides long. RefSeq lists it as uncharacterized. Lineage: Eukaryota; Metazoa; Chordata; Aves; Passeriformes; Pipridae. The transcript has 2 exons. The record is from RefSeq and is a predicted model, not a curated record.
CAGCAUCUCCAUGUAUGUGUGAGGAUGGUCAUCUGGCAGUUCUCCAAAGCAAUGCAACAGCAUCCUAAAAUGAGCACAGCUGAAGAGGCUGUCAGCAGCUGUGAGCAGUCCAGCUGACAAUUAAUCACAAGAAAAGAUCAGGCAUAAUAAGGAUACAGUCAAUGAUAUGUGGACAUGCAUCAAAGCUUCGCUCUUGCUGGUGACAUCAUAGCCUUCCAAUGACCAUGACAUCCACCACCUCCCCCUUGUGAAGCUCCACAUACUGCUCUGUCUUUGGAGGUAGCAUCAACAGUCCAUUGGCACUGCGCAUACUCAUCAGACGACUGCUCAUCUGAUUCCCUACAGGAGACAGAGAACAAUUAAGUCUUCAGUUAGUUCCAAAUGCUGCAACGCAUCACACAACAAACAAAAGCUGUUAUUGCGAAGACAUUUAUGUGGCUAACUUUUUCAUAGAGCUGAGAUCUUCCUGUUCCAAGGUGAAUGGAAACAGAGAGCUCUGUGGAGAAUUAGUCAGCUUCUCAUCGGACUAGCUCUCAAAAUCAUCACUCCCUUUACUGAUUGCUUUCCUAUCCAGCCUUCCACAUUAUCUGUACAUGUAUCUUGUCCUAGUAAAUUGCU